This 729-nucleotide unclassified non-coding RNA is filed under the name uncultured Bartonella sp. Its description in RNAcentral is "partial 16S-23S ribosomal RNA intergenic spacer". Lineage: Bacteria; Pseudomonadati; Pseudomonadota; Alphaproteobacteria; Hyphomicrobiales; Bartonellaceae. The record is from RNAcentral.
CGUAUGUCAUCCGUUGAAAUUGAUACUGUUAUGCCGCAGGAUUUGAUUAACGCAAAGCCAGUAGCGGCAGCGGUUCGUGAAUUUUUUGGAUCUUCGCAAUUGUCGCAGUUUAUGGAUCAAACUAACCCCUUGUCAGAAAUUACCCAUAAGCGUCGUCUUUCUGCUCUUGGGCCUGGUGGUUUAACACGUGAGCGUGCAGGUUUUGAGGUACGUGACGUGCAUCCUACGCAUUAUGGUCGUAUUUGCCCGAUUGAAACACCAGAAGGUCCCAAUAUUGGUCUUAUUAAUUCUUUAGCAACAUUUGCACGAGUUAAUAAAUAUGGCUUUAUUGAAAGUCCAUAUCGCAAAAUUAUCGACGGUAAAGUGACAACAGAGGUGAUUUACCUUUCUGCAAUGGAAGAAUCAAAACAUUAUGUAGCUCAGGCUAAUUCUUCAUUAGAUUCAGAAGGGCGUUUUACGGAAGAGUUUGUAGUUUGCCGUCAUGCAGGUGAAGUUUUGAUGGCUCCACGUGAUCAUGUGGAUUUGAUGGAUGUUUCACCAAAACAGUUAGUUUCGGUAGCUGCUGCUCUUAUUCCAUUUUUGGAAAAUGAUGACGCAAACCGUGCGUUGAUGGGUUCAAACAUGCAGCGUCAAGCGGUUCCACUUAUACGCGCUGAGGCGCCAUUUGUCGGUACAGGUAUGGAAUCGAUAGUUGCUCGUGAUUCUGGUGCUGCUAUUGGCGCAAAACGU